AGUUGUUCCAAGUGGGCUUAUCGUGGUAAGCAUGUUAAGCAAUGAGGGAUGAACCUAACGCUGAGAUAAGGCGCCCAAAUUCCCGCCCAUCAGAAACCAUAAAAGGUGUUGAUUCAUAUAGACAGCAGGACGGUGGCCAUGGAAGUCGGAAUCCGCUAAGGAGUGUGUAACAACUCACCUGCCGAAUGAAUUAGCCCUGAAAAUGGAUGGCGCUGAAGCGGGAUGCCGAUACUCAGCCAUCAAGGCAAUUAAAGAAGCUUUGAUGUGUAAGAGGGCGUGAGUGCGGUGCAGAAGCCUUUGGCGUGAGCCUAGGUUGAACCGCAUUUAGUGCAGAUCUUGGUGGUAGUAGCGAAUAUUCAAAUGAGAACUUUGAAGACCGACGUGGAGAAGGGUUCCAUGAGAACAGCAUUUGGUCAUGGGUUAUCCGAUCCUAAGGCAUAGGGAAGUUCCUUGUAAUACAAGAGCACUUCGCUCGUUGCCGAAAGGGAAUGAGGUUAAUAUUCCUCAGACUGGACGUGGAUAAUGUAUGGUAACAUAAGUGAGCCCGGAGACAUCGGUAUGAACUCCUGGAAGAGUUAUCUUUUCUUUUUAACAAUCUAUCGCCCUGAAAUUGGAUUAUCCUGAGCUAGGGCUUUAUGAUUGGCAGAGCAUUGCACUCUAUGUAAUGUCAGGUGCGUUCAUAACGAUCCUUGAAAAUCCGGGUAAGAGAUCUAUUUCACGCCAGAUCGCCAAUAACCGCAUCAGGUCUCCAAGGUUAGCAGCCUCUGGUCAAUAGGAUAAUGCAGAUAAGGGAAUUCGGCAAAUUAGAUCCGUAACUUCGGGAAAAGGAUUGGCUCUGAGGAUUGGAUUCAAGGGCCUGUUCAUGGACUCUUAGCUAGUUUGGAACUGCGAGGGCAACUUAGUGGCUCCAGAUCGGCGAACGCGGGAGUGAGCAGGACGCUUUCAUCGGCUUUCCUUGGAUGAAUAACAAUUAACUCAGAACUGAAGCGGACAAGGGGAAUCCGACUGUUUAAUAAAAACAUAGCAUUGUGAUGGCCUGAAAAGGUGUUGACACAAUGUGAUUUCUGCCCAGUGCUCUGAAUGUCAAAGUGAAGAAAUUCAACCAAGCGCGGGUAAACGGCGGGAGUAACUAUGACUCUCUUAAGGUAGCCAAAUGCCUCGUCAUCUAAUUAGUGACGCGCAUGAAUGGAUCAAUGAGAUUCCCACUGUCCCUAUCUGCUACCUAGCGAACCCACAGCCAAGGGAACGGGCUUGGAAAAAUCAGCGGGGAAAGAAGACCCUUUUUGAGCUUGACUCUAGUCCGACUUUGUGAAAUGACCCAUGAGGUAUAGCCUAAGUGGGAGCUAACGCGCACCUGUAAAACCACUACUCAUGUUUUGGCCAUUUUACUUAUUCCGUGAAGUAGAGAACACCUUACGGUGGUUCUAGAAUUAAGGUUGAGCCC
RNAcentral lists this ribosomal RNA (1444 nucleotides) under metagenome. RNAcentral describes it as "eukaryotic LSU rRNA". It matches the Rfam family "Eukaryotic large subunit ribosomal RNA", at positions 1115 to 2580 of the family's 3401-position model. The record is from RNAcentral.